Molecule: ribosomal RNA, 119 nt
Filed under: Pteropus alecto (black flying fox)
Lineage: Eukaryota; Metazoa; Chordata; Mammalia; Chiroptera; Pteropodidae
Source: RNAcentral
GUCUACGGCCAUGCCACCCUGAAUGAGCCUGAUUCUGUCUGAUCUCGGAAGCUAAGCAGGGUCGGGCCUGGUUAGUACUUGGAUGGGAGACCACCUAGGAAGACCAGGUGCUAUAGGCG